GUUUGAUCCUGGCUCAGAACGAACGCUGGCGGCAGGCUUAACACAUGCAAGUCGAACGCCCCGCAAGGGGAGUGGCAGACGGGUGAGUAACGCGUGGGAACAUACCCUUUCCUGCGGAAUAGCUCCGGGAAACUGGAAUUAAUACCGCAUAGCGCUACGGGGGAAAGAUUUAUCGGGGAAGGAUUGGCCCGCGUUGGAUUAGCUAGUUGGUGGGGUAAAGGCCUACCAAGGCGACGAUCCAUAGCUGGUCUGAGAGGAUGAUCAGCCACAUUGGGACUGAGACACGGCCCAAACUCCUACGGGAGGCAGCAGUGGGGAAUAUUGGACAAUGGGCGCAAGCCUGAUCCAGCCAUGCCGCGUGAGUGAUGAAGGCCUUAGGGUUGUAAAGCUCUUUCACCGGAGAAGAUAAUGACGGUAUCCGGAGAAGAAGCCCCGGCUAACUUCGUGCCAGCAGCCGCGGUAAUACGAAGGGGGCUGCGUUGUUCGGAAUUAUGGGCGUAAAGCGCACGUAGGCGGAUAUUUAAGUCAGGGGUGAAAUCCCGAGCUCAAGCUCUGGAACUGCCUUUGAGUAGNUGGGUGAUCUUGAGUAUGGAAGAGGUAAGUGGAA
This 607-nucleotide ribosomal RNA is filed under the name Agrobacterium sp. GWS-SE-H184. RNAcentral's name for it is "bacterial SSU rRNA". It matches the Rfam family "Bacterial small subunit ribosomal RNA", at positions 11 to 666 of the family's 1533-position model. The record is from RNAcentral. Lineage: Bacteria; Pseudomonadati; Pseudomonadota; Alphaproteobacteria; Hyphomicrobiales; Rhizobiaceae.